Molecule: ribosomal RNA, 485 nt
Filed under: uncultured Glomus
Lineage: Eukaryota; Fungi; Glomeromycota; Glomeromycetes; Glomerales; Glomeraceae
Description: SSU rRNA
Rfam family: Eukaryotic small subunit ribosomal RNA
Source: RNAcentral
GUAAUUCCAGCUCCAAUAGCGUAUAUUAAAGUUGUUGCAGUUAAAAAGCUCGUAGUUGAAUUUCGGGAUCAAGGAAUCGGUCAUGCCUCGGUAUGUACUGGUUUUAUUGGUUCUCACCUUCUAAAGAACCAUGAUGUCAUUCAUUUGAUGUUAUGGGGAAUUAGGACUGUUACCUUGAAAAAAUUAGAGUGUUUAAAGCAAGCUUACGCUUGAAUACAUUAGCAUGGAAUAAUGAAAUAGGACAUCCGAUUCUAUUUUGUUGGUUUCUAGGAUCGAUGUAAUGAUUAAUAGGGAUAGUUGGGGGCAUUAGUAUUCAAUUGUCAGAGGUGAAAUUCUUGGAUUUAUUGAAGACUAACUACUGCGAAAGCAUUUGCCAAGGAUGUUUUCAUUAAUCAAGAACGAAAGUUAGGGGAUCGAAGACGAUCAGAUACCGUCGUAGUCUUAACCAUAAACUAUGCCGACUAGGGAUCGGAUGAUGUUUAUUU